This 465-nucleotide ribosomal RNA is filed under the name Vreelandella stevensii. Its description in RNAcentral is "partial 16S ribosomal RNA". It matches the Rfam family "Bacterial small subunit ribosomal RNA", at positions 338 to 795 of the family's 1533-position model. The record is from RNAcentral. Lineage: Bacteria; Pseudomonadati; Pseudomonadota; Gammaproteobacteria; Oceanospirillales; Halomonadaceae.
CCUACGGGAGGCUGCAGUGGGGAAUAUUGGACAAUGGGGGGAACCCUGAUCCAGCCAUGCCGCGUGUGUGAAGAAGGCCCUCGGGUUGUAAAGCACUUUCAGUGAGGAAGAACGCCUGGUGGUUAAUACCCAUCAGGAAAGACAUCACUCACAGAAGAAGCACCGGCUAACUCCGUGCCAGCAGCCGCGGUAAUACGGAGGGUGCGAGUGUUAAUCGGAAUUACUGGGCGUAAAGCGCGCGUAGGUGGCUUGAUAAGCCGGUUGUGAAAGCCCCGGGCUCAACCUGGGAACGGCAUCCGGAACUGUCAAGCUAGAGUGCAGGAGAGGAAGGUAGAAUUCCCGGUGUAGCGGUGAAAUGCGUAGAGAUCGGGAGGAAUACCAGUGGCGAAGGCGGCCUUCUGGACUGACACUGACACUGAGGUGCGAAAGCGUGGGUAGCAAACAGGAUUAGAUACCCCGGUAGUC